GGAGAGUUGUCCGAGCGGUUUAAGGAGCUAGUCUUGAAAACUAGUGAUGGGGUAACCCACCGUGAGUUCGAAUCUCACACUCUCCGCCA
This 89-nucleotide transfer RNA is filed under the name Oscillospiraceae bacterium. Its description in RNAcentral is "tRNA-Ser". It matches the Rfam family "tRNA". Rfam says of the family: Transfer RNA (tRNA) molecules are approximately 80 nucleotides in length. The record is from RNAcentral. Lineage: Bacteria; Bacillati; Bacillota; Clostridia; Eubacteriales; Oscillospiraceae.